RNAcentral lists this transfer RNA (68 nucleotides) under Marmota monax (woodchuck). RNAcentral describes it as "tRNA.Ala". Lineage: Eukaryota; Metazoa; Chordata; Mammalia; Rodentia; Sciuridae. The record is from RNAcentral.
GGAAUGUGGCUCAAAUGGUAGUGUGCUCGCCUGGCAUGCGUGCGGCCCGGGUUUGAUCCUCAGCACCA